This is a long non-coding RNA of Pseudoliparis swirei, 1356 nucleotides long. RefSeq lists it as uncharacterized. The transcript is spliced from 2 exons. The record is from RefSeq and is a predicted model, not a curated record. Lineage: Eukaryota; Metazoa; Chordata; Actinopteri; Perciformes; Liparidae.
UUUACAUUUACUAACAUAUUUUACCCUCGGGGUCAAUUUGACCCCAGCAAUUAAAACCGCCAGAAAAUUAUUAGAAUUAAUAUUGCUUCCCAAGUUUAAGUGUGAGGUACUUUAUGUUUGUUUGUUGACUACCUAAAUAGCCCUUUAAAUAUAUAAAAAAGUUGAUAUUUCUUAUAUGUUUGACACAGUGAAAAACAGCCUGGGGUCAAAUUGCCCCCAAAGAACACCGACAUUAAACAUUGAAUGGGGUCAAAUUGACCCGAAAGGUAACAGGAGGGUUAAAUGAAACUCAUCUGUAGACCGGAGAUCUUUUCACUCUCGGUAACGUGACCCACCGAGUCGCCUCGUGUCGAAACAGGAAGUCAAAACUUACAAAAGAGAACUAACCGACUGUAAGGAAGAAACAACCCAGAUGACGCAAUCAGCGAGUAACGUCCUCCUCGAGCUCGCAGCGCUGCGACGAACGCCGCGCAGACGAUGUUCAACGUGAUGGAUUUCCGAAGAUCCUCUGCCAUCUGAUUGGCUGCUUGCUGUGCAGCUUUAAUUGUUUGCCCUGAGCGUCAGAGCGUGCAGCUUCCCGGCUGCCGGAUGCUCUGUGCACACAUCAUGAGUCGCACUGACUUCUAGGAGACCGAGCACUAAUCCAUCGGAGGAGUCUUCACUAGACUCACUAAAACAAACACGGCCAUAUAUAUAUAUACACACUCUGAAUAAUAAUAAUAAUAAUUUGCAUUAUAUAUAUACAUAUACACUCAAAAUAAUAAUAAUAAUUUGCAUUCUAUUUUUAUAUAUAUACAGUAUAUAUGCCACAGAGUGCACCGGUCUUUGAACUUCUAAAAAUAUUUUAUAUAUAUAUGUACACACACACACACACAUUUGACUGAGUGUACAACUGAUGUUCAUUAUUUUUAUUUUAAAGCAUAAAGAAAUACAUUGAUUAUUCGCUAAGUAUCAUGCUGCUAAACAAGCCUCCAAUAACUGAAGUCUCACUCUGCAUUUCCAAACAGGUCCCAUUCAUUGUUUAUUCGAAGUCAUCAUCACUUUAAUUAGGCUGAUUUGAGAGCAUGUGCCCCAUCAUGCUUUAAAUACAUACAGACGAACACAAAUGAGGCGUCUGGAGAGUCGAAGUAUGAAUAAUGCAUCGACUCAAACUUUCAGAAACACGUAAACUCUCAGAAGUCAAUAGACGUAAAUACAAACAUACUGUAGUGACACACACAGCACAUAGGGAGGGAAAUGAAGACCGAUGCUGGUGGGAAUUGACAGAUUUAAUAAAUAAAAAUGACGAAGAAGAGAAAGAUGGACAACAGAACAUUAACAACAGAAAAUUGGGAAAUAAAUAAAUAAGUCAGUUUC